This 71-nucleotide transfer RNA is filed under the name Mammaliicoccus sciuri. RNAcentral describes it as "Staphylococcus sciuri tRNA-Glu". It matches the Rfam family "tRNA". From Rfam's summary of the family: Transfer RNA (tRNA) molecules are approximately 80 nucleotides in length. Their secondary structure includes four short double-helical elements and three loops (D, anti-codon, and T loops). Lineage: Bacteria; Bacillati; Bacillota; Bacilli; Caryophanales; Staphylococcaceae. The record is from RNAcentral. RNAcentral also lists the same sequence under 2 other names.
GGCCCUUGGUCAAGCGGUUAAGACACCGCCCUUUCACGGCGGUAACACGGGUUCGAAUCCCGUAGGGGUCA